AUUGAACGCUGGCGGCAUGCUUUACACAUGCAAGUCGAACGGUAACAGGCCUUCGGGUGCUGACGAGUGGCGAACGGGUGAGUAAUGCAUCGGAACGUACCCAGAGGUGGGGGAUAACGCAGCGAAAGCUGUGCUAAUACCGCAUGUGAUCUGAGGAUGAAAGCGGGGGACCGCGCAGCAAUGUUUGGCCUCGCGCCUUUGGAGCGGCCGAUGUCGGAUUAGCUAGUUGGUGGGGUAAAGGCCUACCAAGGCGACGAUCCGUAGCUGGUCUGAGAGGACGACCAGCCACACUGGGACUGAGACACGGCCCAGACUCCUACGGGAGGCAGCAGUGGGGAAUUUUGGACAAUGGGCGCGAGCCUGAUCCAGCAAUGCCGCGUGCGGGAAGAAGGCCUUCGGGUUGUAAACCGCUUUUGGCAGGAACGAAACGGUGUCCGCUAAUACCGGGCGCUAAUGACGGUACCGGCAGAAUAAGCACCGGCUAACUACGU
This 491-nucleotide ribosomal RNA is filed under the name uncultured bacterium. Its description in RNAcentral is "partial 16S ribosomal RNA". It matches the Rfam family "Bacterial small subunit ribosomal RNA", at positions 29 to 506 of the family's 1533-position model. The record is from RNAcentral.